GCUGUACGCCCCUUGAAAUGUAACUCUGAGAUGGGGAUUAUCAUGUAGUGCUGUGGGAGUGUAAGGUCAGACAGCAACUUGCCCACCUGCUCCGCAGUGUGGAUGGAUGAUUGACGGCUCCAGUUGAACUGAGGUCGACAGCUCCAGCAAACCAGGUGCCUACUUGGGUUGACAGCCCCAGCCAAAUCACUCUUGACAGUUCUUUGCCUAACCAUGGGGGUCAAUGAUUGAAAGCUCUAAACAAUUCACAUUCGACAGCCACUGCCAACCCCACUCAUAUGACAACCUGGCCAGGCCCACAUGACAACUCCCUUGCCAUACACGAUCCAAACUUACUUCCUUUUACAUGCACCAGCCAAGCCCCAUUUUUUUUUUUUUUUUUUGACAGGCAGAGUGGACAGUGAGAGAGAGAGAGACAGAGAGAAAGGUCUUCCUUUGCCAUUGGUUCACCCUCCAAUGGCUGCCGCGGCCGGCGCACUGCGGCCGGCGCACCGCGCUGAUCCGAUGGCAGGAGCCAGGAGCCAGGUGCUUUUCCUGGUCUCCCAUAGGGUGCAGGGCCCAAGCACCUGGGCCAUCCUCCACUGCACUCCCUGGCCACAGCAGAGGGCUGGCCUGGAAGAGGGGCAACCGGGACAGAAUCUGGCGCCCCGACCGGGACUAGAACCCAGUGUGGCCCCAUUUUCUGUACAUAAUGCAAGCCCACCUCCCAUGCACCAGCAAGCCCCUGUCCCUUUCCAAGUAGUCAAAACCAGAGUUCCACAAUGUUGUGAACUUGCAGCCAGGGCUAGCUAGAAAUAUCCAAUAUGGCUGCAGGAUGCGCUCUUCCCCCUCCACCAUUACCUUUAGGUCAUUAUAAUGUGAUUAUCAUAAAAUUACCAUGGAGCACGCCCACUCCCAUCAUGACACUUCCAAUACUUCCUUAAAACAGAAAAAAAAAAAAGGGCAGCACUCAAGCCCCCACGCCUAACUCUGCCCCUUCUGAACAGUAAAUUAGGUUACAUGCUGGACAUCUGCCCUGGUAUAAACGGAAGGCCUAACCUUACUGACGUACCUUUUUCCUUUGUCAGAGCUUUCUCCUUUGUGGGGGGCUUUUUCACUGUUGGGAGCUUUUCCUUGGAGAGGGAUUUUUAUUUGUUUGGGGAGUUCUUGCAUUUUUAUGUGUCUAUUCAACUCACAUCUUUGUGGUUGAACUUGAACUUCUGUUUUGCUCCAGAUAAAUCCUGCUCUUCGGUACAUGUUUACACCUCUACCUUUGAAUUCUUUCACACAUGGAGGGAAGAACCUGAAAUAAGACUAGCCAGGAGCUCCCAGCACCCGCAGCCCACAGCAGUAGAACCUUUAUUAGAGGUUACCUUGGAAUCAACAGCAAAAAGGUAUCCCAGUGGCCUAGCCAGGAUGGAAACCAGCAGUCAAGGCAUCUUAGGUGCUGGAGUAGCUGUGAGUGUGGAGUGUCGCUUCUCCAAGAUCCAAGAAUGGCCAGAGCAACCGUGGUGGGCAGUGGCACAAGGGAUCAAAAGACCCACCGACAUGAGCGUGAGAGAGUGCAUUUACUAUUCCUCUUUAGCUGCUGGUACUCCUGUCUUCAAAGAAUUUACAGAAAGGUGAUGGAAAUAAUUGCAAGACACAAAGCUACUGGGAAACAGCAGGCUUGGCACCCAGACGUGUCAGCUGGUAUUGUCAGUUCACUAUCCCUGAAACUGCCAGAGAACCAUCCUCCCAUGCGGCAUUCCUCGGAGCACCAAGAGGAUAUGAAGUUUAUUAUUCAAAUUGAAUAAACAAAGAGACCUCAGAAUUCA
RNAcentral lists this long non-coding RNA (1796 nucleotides) under Oryctolagus cuniculus (rabbit). RNAcentral's name for it is "lncRNA (ENSOCUG00000034310.1)". The record is from RNAcentral. Lineage: Eukaryota; Metazoa; Chordata; Mammalia; Lagomorpha; Leporidae.